RNAcentral lists this ribosomal RNA (1229 nucleotides) under metagenome. Its description in RNAcentral is "bacterial SSU rRNA". It matches the Rfam family "Bacterial small subunit ribosomal RNA", at positions 275 to 1487 of the family's 1533-position model. The record is from RNAcentral.
GCUUACGGUUAGCUGGUCUGAGAGGAUGGUCAGCCACACUGGGACUGAGACACUGCCCAGACUCCUACGGGAGGCUGCAGUCGAGGAUCAUUCGCAAUGCGCGAAAGCGUGACGAUGCGACGCUGCGUGGAGGAUGACGGCCUUCGGGUUGUAAACUCCUGUCAUGAGGGAAAAGCCGUCCUGUGGUGAAUAUCCACGGGACCCGAUGGUACCUCAAGAGGAAGCCACGGCUAACUCUGUGCCAGCAGCCGCGGUAAUACAGAGGUGGCUAGCGUUGUUCGGAUUUACUGGGCGUAAAGCGUGCGUAGGUGGCUUCGUAUGUCGGUUGUGAAAGCCCACGGCUUAACCGUGGAAAUGCGACCGAAACUGCGGGGCUUGAGUGCAGGAGGGGAGAGCGGAAUUCUUGGUGUAGCGGUGAAAUGCGUUGAUAUCAUGAAGAACACCGGUGGCGAAGGCGGCUCUCUGGAAUGUUACUGACACUGAGGCACGAAAGCUGGGGGAGCAAACAGGAUUAGAUACCCUGGUAGUCCCAGCCGUAAACGGUGCGCACUUGGUGUUGGCGGAAUUGACCCCGCCAGUGCCGGAGCUAACGCAUUAAGUGCGCCGCCUGGGGAGUACGGCCGCAAGGUUAAAACUCAAAGAAAUUGACGGGGGCCCGCACAAGCGGAGGAGCAUGUGGCUUAAUUCGAUGCAACGCGAAGAACCUUACCUGGGCUUGACAUGUAACUGCACGUCCUGUGAAAGCAGGAUUCCUUCGAGGGUGUUACACAGGUGCUGCAUGGCUGUCGUCAGUUCGUGCCGUGAGGUGUUGGGUUAAGUCCCGCAACGAACGCAACCCCUAUGUUUAGUUGCCACCGCAGGUGAUGAGCCUGCGAGCACUCUAGACAGACUGCCUGUACAAGCAGGAGGAAGGUGGGGACGACGUCAAGUCAGUAUGGCCCUUACGCCCAGGGCUGCACACGUGCUACAAUGGCCGGUACAGAAGGACGCAAUACCGCGAGGUGGAGCAAAUCCCCAAAACCGGCCCCAGUUCGGAUUGCAGUCUGCAACUCGACUGCAUGAAGUUGGAUUCGCUAGUAACGGCGCAUCAGCUACGGCGCCGUGAAUACGUUCCCGGGCCUUGUACACACCGCCCGUCACAUCAUAAAAGCCGUCUGCACCCGAAGUCGCUGAGCCAACCCGCAAGGGAGGCAGGUGCCGAAGGUGUGGGUGGUGAUUGGGAUGAAGUC